Cicer arietinum (chickpea) is the source of this 3719-nucleotide long non-coding RNA. RefSeq lists it as uncharacterized. The record is from RefSeq and is a predicted model, not a curated record. NCBI's taxonomy places the organism in Eukaryota, Viridiplantae, Streptophyta, Magnoliopsida, Fabales, Fabaceae.
UUUGGGAUUUUGAGCGCCGUCUUGAGAGGUUGUAAAAGCAAACAUUUUUCCCUUUUAAUGUCUUCUUGUAAGAUAACUUCAUGAGAUCUUAGGAACCCAGUAGGUUGUAAAACUAUUGACUUAAGAUCUUUGGUUUUUGUUAUAGUAGUAACCAUUGGUCUCCAUAUUUUGUGUAGGCUCCUCAAUUUUUUUCUAAUUCUUUCAUGAGGUGUACAGGUUUUACCAAAAUAUUUUAGUUCAUUAACAAUGAGUGUAAGUCUUGAAUACAUCUCGUCGAUAGUUUCAUCUUCGAUUAUUUCAAAAGUUUCAAACUUUCAAACUCCCAUGUCUAUCCUUGCUUCUUUAACAUGGAUGGAUCCUUCAUAGUGAGUUAUUGUUUUUCCUAUAUUUCUUUUCUCUUUUGCCUUCUUCUAUUUUAUCAUACUCUGACAUGCUCAAAGCACACGUUAUAAAUAAUUAGGUUUUUUGCUUAUUUAAAAGUACCUUUGUUUUGUCAUUUGUUAUCCACGGUACUUUGGGUUGGUCAUCAGAUGCAGAAUCAUCUUCAUUUGUAUUUGGUAUGUAAUCUCCACUUUCAAUUAGCUUGAGUUAUCAAAAAUAGUUUCAUUUUUCCUUUUCAAAAGUAUUAAUCACUUCCAUCAAAGUAUGGAGGUUUUUUAGAUGAGCUUCCUUUAGGUAUAUAUAUAUUUUGCAAUUUUAGACAUCGCUUGCUUCCUGGAUCUAUCCUCUUACUUUAUUAAAUGCUCAACCUUUUAGAGGAAAAACUCUGAUACCAAUUAAACUGGAAUGAACAAUAACAAGAAAAGAAUGAAUAAUAACUGAUACUUUAUAAAUUUGUUCUUGCACUUAAAAUUAAUUUCCUUUCUCAAGAAAACGCUUGGAAAAAUAAAAGUAAUGAACAUGAGAAUUUCUAAUUAGUAAUGCAAAUGGAAGAUAAUGAGUAAGAGAUUGAGAGAUAGCACACCACAAUUUAUACUAGUUCACCCAAAAAUAGGCUACGUCCCAUCAUUGCCCUUGGUGAGAUUUUUCUCUAUGUCUUUCUUUAGAACGCUAUGUUGUUAUGAGAUUUUAUUUAAAUCAACCUUAAUCAAUUACAAUAUUUAUAUUUUCAGCAACAAAAGCCUUAUAAUUCAUGUUUUAAUGCUUCACUCAGACUUUCCAAAUAUUUUACUCAAACUAACUUUAACACAAGAAAGUUUGCAUAAUGUUACAAGUAAAUGAAUUGUGUUUGUGCGAUCUAAGCAUCACUCAAGUGUUUUGAGAUAAUAUGAUAACAAGAGCUGGAGUGUGUUUGAUUUGAAGAGAGCUUUGAUUGAUAAUGCACUUGAAUAAAUGGAUUAUGAGCUUGAAUAGACUUGAAACUUUGAAAUCUUCAAGUAUUUAUAGAUGAAAUGAGCUUAAGAAUGGUCUUGAAACAAAAAUAUGUUGUUGGACACGUUUCCCUAAAAAUUUGGAAAUCAAUUAACUUAGUUCUUUAAGCUUUGUAGUGAUCCUUCUUCGGAUUAGAACAUUCAACUAGACUAUGUAUUUGGUGCAAAACGUGGUCAGAACCUUUAUCUUGCUUUUAAGACCCCUAUUAAGACACCUAUUCCCAAAGUUGUGUUGGCAACGCUUUUAUCCUUUAUACCGAAGGUCGAUCAUCAUCAAGAAUUGAAUGAUUAUAGACCGAUUUGUUUGUCAGAAGCUUGUAUAAAAUUAUAUCAAAAUUACUUGUUGCAAGGUUAAAUAAGGUGAUUGGAUCAGUGAUUUCUCAUUACCAAACUGCUUUUGUUCCGGAACAAAAAAAAUUGGAUGGGAUAUUGGUUUAAAACGAUGUAAUUGAUCCUAUAAAAUGAAGGAAAGGUAAAUGCUCUUUGUUAAAGGUUGAAUUUGAAAAGGUGUAUGACUGUGUGAGUUAGGUCUAUUUGGAGUGUAUGUUAAUUAGGUUUGGUUUUGGAGAGUAAAGGAUUCAAUAGAUUAAGGCAUGUAUCUUUGCCAGUAGCCUUUUUGUUCCCGUUAAUGGCAUCCCAACUAAAGAGUUUACUAUUGGUCGAGGGCUUCGACAAGGUGACUCGUUAGCUCUCUUCUUAUUUGUAAUCCCAUUUGAAGUACUUUAUGGCUUGACACAAAAGGUCGUGGAGUAAUCUAUGGAGCAUUAAAAUCAUUCUUAGGAGUUUCGAAUUGGUGUUCGGUUGGGUGGUGAACCUAUUUAAAAGUAAGAUGUAUGGCUUGCAUUUGGGGAAUGGUUUCUUAGAGACUGCAUAUUGGCCUUUUCUGUUGUCGCAUUGAAUCUGUCCCUUUUAAAUUGUGUUAGGCUUCUGUUGGUGGUAGUCCCAGGAGGUACAAUAUGUGGAACCCAGUGAUCGAAAACAUGAAGAAAAGAUUAUCUUCUUGGAAAGGAAGGCAUUUCUCCAUUGGUGGAUGGGUAACAUUGAUAAACUCAGUGUUAAAUAGUAUUCCUCUUUGUUACAUUUCAUUUCCAGGUUAGCCAGAAAGGUUUUUAAACAUCUUAGGGCCAUUUAACACAAUUUUCUUUGCGGAAGUUGUGAUAGUUCAAUCAAUAUUUGUUGGAAGAGUUGGAUAGAUAUAUGCAAUUCUAAGGCUAUUGGUGGUCUUGGAGUAAAAGAGCUUAAUCUUUUAAAUGUAGCAUUACUCAAUAAAUCAAAGUGGAGUAUUCUUAAUGGUCGAAAGGCUAUAUGAAAAAAUUUAAUGAUAUCAUGAAGUACUUGGUAUUAAGUCUAGUAUGUACUUGUUGAUUGAAUCAACAACUUGUAUUGUCGAGGUCAAAAUUGCUCUGCACUACAAGAAAUUCACAUUUGUGUAAUGUUGCAUUAAGUUGGGAUAUUUGCUUUUAACUAUGGCAUCAAGUGGGUCGUUAAAACUUGUAAUCAAUAAAUCAUCUGGUAUUUUAAUUUUUGCAUAACCAUCAUUUGGCUCUUCUAGUUUACAAUCUCCAACUUUGAAGAUUCAUUCAAAGAAAGUCUUCAAAUCGUCUACAUUUGGAUUUUGGAGUGAUGGUUGUAAUCGCAUGUUUUUUAUUAGCAUCAACACAUGACUAUGAUCCCAUAUAUAUGAAGAAUUUAUUGUAGCAUUUGAUAAUAUCAAAUUGAUUUCCCCUUGGGAUAACAGGGAUAAUUUUUCUAAAAUCACCACCAAAUACCACAACUUUUCCUUCAAAUAUAUGAUCAUUAGAGCUUGUGUCACUCAUUAUAUCUUUCAAAGUUUUAUCUAGAGCCUCAAAGAAAAAUUUGUGAGCAAUUGGAGCUUCAUUCCAAAUGAUCAAUUUUGUAACUUUUAGUAAAUCAACAAGUUCACUAUUUUGUUCAAUAUUGCGUGUUGAUGACUCUAGUGUAGGAACAAGAAUCUUGAAUUUGGAAUGUGCGGUUCUUCCUCCUGAAAGUAAAAAUGAUGCUAUUCCACUUGAGGCCACAGUUAACAUAAUUUCCUUCCUUGAACUCAAUCUGGAAGCCAAAGUAUGCCACAUGAAAGUUUUUUCUGUUCCACCAUAACCAUAUAGGAAAAAAACAACUCCUCCUCUAUGAUUGUCUACAUCUUAUGUGAUAGUUUGAAAAAUUGUCCUUUGCUCAUCUAAGUAUUUGAUUAUUUGCUUAGUGGAAUGUAUAUUUGUGUAGAAUAGAUUAACAAAGCCAAGUAUUGGUUAAAAGAUAUAAACUAAUUAAUUUCAUAAGUUUUGCAUAAGUUACCUAUAAGGGAUCCAUAAAAUUGAUGGAAUUGUUGAA